AAAAUCUUUUUUUUUUAAAAAGGAAUCAACAUGAGAAAGAAUAAUAUUGUUCUAUGCUUGUACCCUGUCAGAUCCUCCUUGUGGGGUCCAAAUCAUCCUGGAAAUGGAGUCUGAGCUCUGCAGGUGUUCAUAAUCUAGUCAACAUGUAAGCAAAUGAUGAGUAGGCCUGUGGGAUGCCGCCGGUUUGCUGUCUUGUCCAGGACUGGGUGAUUGAAUGCAUCUCAGGUGGCCAGCUGUCUGAGGAGCGUGCCCGCCGCCCACCCGCAUUCUGGCAGCCUGCGCCACCCUGGAGACCCCAGCCUCCAUUAGCAGCAGAGACGUCGAGAGAGUCUGACAUCCCUGACCUGCCAGCGAGUCUUCCUUUGUUUGACUCCAUUAGUAACUGACCUAUUAGACUUUGCAAGAAGAAGAUUCCAGAACCCACCUGCAAUCUAAACAGCUUUCAGCAGAAACAGUUGGUCUGUGUUCCUCUUGCAGAUAGCUCUGGGCGGAGGAAGCAGAAAUUGCUGUGGCAUCUCCCAAAAGCAUUUUAUAAAAGGACUAUUUAUUCUAGGUUCAGUCUAUUUUGCCCAGCACCUCUCAGACAGUCAAUAAUUCCAGUUUGUUUAUGAUUAUCCUUGUGUCCUCCCCUUCCAUCUGCCUCCCGAGCCUGCGCUUCUCGCCACAGCCGCCCCACAGAAUGGGGGAGCAUCUGUCUUUCUAAUGACCGGCCAUGGCAAUCUUCGCUGUUCAAUAUGGCUAGAUGAAGAAAACAUUUAAUUUCUACUAUGUGGGGCACUCCAAAGCCAGAUUUGACAACUGUUCCAUUGAACACUAGUAUUUCACAAUUUCCUUCGAUAACAAAAAAGAAACAGUUCUUACUCCCAGAGGAAUAUAUUUACAAGACGGAAAGUUGAUAACCAGGCCACUAGAAUGACAAAUGGUUCUAAAAUACACUGUGUAUUGAUGUUGAUGAACGUGCACUGCCUUCUGAGAGAUGGAAUUCUUCCAGAGUGUGUCUUGUUCUCAGCCUGAAGGGCCAGUAAACAUCUUAGUGAGAAGCAAGGGCCUGAGUCCUGUUUCUGAGGCCUUCUUGGAUUGGAGGAGAGAGCGCUUGGGUGAAGGCCUCUGGGCCAUCCAUGAGUGUUAGGUAGGAGCACCAAGGGAAGGAGAUCCCUGAGGGCUGGUCUUCAUGUAGAAGUGAGGUGCCCCCAUAGGGUGGUGAAGGAUGGGAAGGGCCU
This 1220-nucleotide long non-coding RNA is filed under the name Vulpes vulpes (red fox). Its description in RNAcentral is "lncRNA (ENSVVUG00000021416.1)". Lineage: Eukaryota; Metazoa; Chordata; Mammalia; Carnivora; Canidae. The record is from RNAcentral.